AACUGAGUGCCGUAGUGGUUUGAGUGUUGGACUAUGACUCUGGAGACCAGGGUUCAAUUCCAGGCUUGGCCA
This is a non-coding RNA of Phrynosoma platyrhinos (Desert horned lizard), 72 nucleotides long. The record is from the annotation of a GenBank genome assembly. Lineage: Eukaryota; Metazoa; Chordata; Lepidosauria; Squamata; Phrynosomatidae.